RNAcentral lists this ribosomal RNA (325 nucleotides) under Enterococcus faecium. RNAcentral describes it as "partial 23S ribosomal RNA". It matches the Rfam family "Bacterial large subunit ribosomal RNA", at positions 775 to 1097 of the family's 2925-position model. The record is from RNAcentral. Lineage: Bacteria; Bacillati; Bacillota; Bacilli; Lactobacillales; Enterococcaceae.
CGAACCCACGUACGUUGAAAAGUGCGGGGAUGAGGUGUGGGUAGCGGAGAAAUUCCAAACGAACUUGGAGAUAGCUGGUUCUCUCCGAAAUAGCUUUAGGGCUAGCCUCGGAAUUGAGAAUGAUGGAGGUAGAGCACUGUUUGGACUAGGGGCCCAUCUCGGGUUACCGAAUUCAGAUAAACUCCGAAUGCCAUUCAUUCAUAUCCGGGAGUCAGACUGUGAGUGAUAAGAUCCAUAGUCGAAAGGGAAACAGCCCAGACCACCAGCUAAGGUCCCAAAAUAUAUGUUAAGUGGAAAAGGAUGUGGGGUUGCACAGACAACUAGG